Molecule: ribosomal RNA, 460 nt
Filed under: uncultured bacterium
Lineage: Bacteria
Description: partial 16S ribosomal RNA
Rfam family: Bacterial small subunit ribosomal RNA
Source: RNAcentral
CCUACGGGCGGCAGCAGUGAGGAAUAUUGGUCAAUGGGAGAGAUCCUGAACCAGCCAAGCCGCGUGAGGGAAGACGGCCCUAUGGGUUGUAAACCUCUUUUGUCGGGGAGCAAAAAGGCCUCGUGAGGCCACAAGUGAGAGUACCCGAAGAAAAAGCAUCGGCUAACUCCGUGCCAGCAGCCGCGGUAAUACGGAGGAUGCGAGCGUUAUCCGGAUUUAGUGGGUUUAAAGGGUGCGUAGGCGGACUGGACAGUCAGCGGUAAAAUCGAGAGGCUCAACCUCUUUCCGCCGUUGAAACUGUCGGUCGUGAGUGGGCGAGAAGUAUGCGGAAGGCGUGGUGUAGCGGUGAAAUGCAUAGAUAUCACGCAGAACUCCGAUUGCGAAGGAAGCAUACCGGCGCCCGACUGACGCUGAGGCACGAAAGCGUGGGGAUCGAACAGGAUUAGAUACCCCAGUAGUC